RNAcentral lists this ribosomal RNA (253 nucleotides) under uncultured bacterium. RNAcentral's name for it is "partial 16S ribosomal RNA". It matches the Rfam family "Bacterial small subunit ribosomal RNA", at positions 524 to 776 of the family's 1533-position model. The record is from RNAcentral.
UACGAAGGUGGCUAGCGUUGCUCGGAAUCACUGGGCGUAAAGGGUGCGUAGGCGGGUCUUUAAGUCCGGGGGGAAAUCCUGGAGCUCAACUCCAGAACUGCCUUUGAUACUGAAGAUCUUGAGUCCGGGAGAGGUGAGUGGAACUGCGAGUGUAGAGGUGAAAUUCGUAGAUAUUCGCAAGAACACCAGUGGCGAAGGCGGCUCACUGGCCCGGUACUGACGCUGAGGCACGAAAGCGUGGGGAGCAAACAGG